This 348-nucleotide ribosomal RNA is filed under the name Bacillus subtilis. RNAcentral describes it as "bacterial LSU rRNA". It matches the Rfam family "Bacterial large subunit ribosomal RNA", at positions 253 to 598 of the family's 2925-position model. Lineage: Bacteria; Bacillati; Bacillota; Bacilli; Caryophanales; Bacillaceae. The record is from RNAcentral.
GCGAAACGGGAUUAGCCCAAACCAAGAGGCUUGCCUCUUGGGGUUGUAGGACACUCUGUACGGAGUUACAAAGGAACGAGGUAGAUGAAGAGGUCUGGAAAGGCCCGCCAUAGGAGGUAACAGCCCUGUAGUCAAAACUUCGUUCUCUCCUGAGUGGAUCCUGAGUACGGCGGAACACGUGAAAUUCCGUCGGAAUCCGGGAGGACCAUCUCCCAAGGCUAAAUACUCCCUAGUGACCGAUAGUGAACCAGUACCGUGAGGGAAAGGUGAAAAGCACCCCGGAAGGGGAGUGAAAGAGAUCCUGAAACCGUGUGCCUACAAGUAGUCAGAGCCCGUUAACGGGUGAUG